RNAcentral lists this non-coding RNA (356 nucleotides) under Exiguobacterium artemiae 255-15. RNAcentral describes it as "Exiguobacterium sibiricum 255-15 cspA thermoregulator". It matches the Rfam family "cspA thermoregulator", at positions 139 to 428 of the family's 428-position model. The record is from Rfam by way of RNAcentral. Lineage: Bacteria; Bacillati; Bacillota; Bacilli; Caryophanales.
UAUAUUAUUAAGUAAUUAUUGUUGUUCGGUGGAGAUACAAAGGUUACACUUUUGACUCGAUGAAAUUGAUCACGGUAGUAAUAAUCAGUAUGACUCAGUCAUACGCAGGAGGCAACACACAUGGAACAAGGUACAGUAAAAUGGUUUAACGCAGAAAAAGGUUUUGGCUUCAUCGAACGUGAAAACGGCGACGACGUUUUCGUUCACUUCUCAGCUAUUCAAACAGACGGUUUCAAAUCACUUGACGAAGGUCAAGAAGUUUCGUUUGAAGUUGAAGAAGGCCAACGCGGACCACAAGCAACUAACGUUACUAAACUUUAAUUUUCCAAGACUCUGCUGUUGCAGGGUCUUUUUUG